RNAcentral lists this unclassified non-coding RNA (232 nucleotides) under Borreliella garinii. RNAcentral describes it as "partial 5S-23S ribosomal RNA intergenic spacer". Lineage: Bacteria; Pseudomonadati; Spirochaetota; Spirochaetia; Spirochaetales; Borreliaceae. The record is from RNAcentral.
CGACCUUCUUCGCCUUAAAGCUCCUAGGCAUUCACCAUAGACUCUUAUUACUUUGACCAUAUUUUUAUCUUCCAUCUCUAUUUUGCCAAUUUGUUUAUACAACAUAGAAUAAUAUAUAUCUUUGUUUAAUCCAUGUCAAUAUAUAUUUUAUUUUUUAUAUUAUUCGAAUAAAACAUUCAAAAACAUGAACAUCUAAAAACAUAAAAAAUAAAAUCAAUGCUUAAAGUAUAAA